UUUUAGUCUCUGAUGCUAGUUUGAGGUGUGGAUAAUUUUUAAACGUUCCUGCAUCCAGUUUAGAGUGAAUCGGCUUCCAACGAUGCGUAAAAUGAUGGGCGAUUUGGAUUUCAAGACAGCACUCGUAAGCAUCUUUGGGAUCCAAUUAUGGCCAUAUCCACGACGUCCAUUUGGGUUGCUAGGUGGGAUUUCACAACCAUGCUUAUUUUCGUCGUUGGAAUCCAAUAAACCCUCCAUCGUCCCAAUCCAGCAAAUCCCCAUCUUCUAUCGUCUGCUUCCUCGACCCUCUUCCUCCUUCUGCUUCCGCUAUUGAGCUUCUAGAAGUGCCCUAAAAACCUUCUACUGUCUUAAAUCUCUGCUACUGCCCAACAUAUUCUCCAUCUGCUCUUAUUCGUCUUAGCGAGCUUCUCCUUCUUCUCCGGCUUCUUCUCCUUCUCCCGAGUAGGUGGAGCACCUUCACCAUCGAUCGAACGUGGAUUUUUUUUUUUGUUUAUCUUAUUUGUAUAUUUCUACAUUUUUAUGCUAUUUUUUAAAUUUUUUAUUUUAUAAUUUCUGAAGGAUCAUCGAAGGGGAAACAGAGUUUGUAGAGAUUGCGAGGUUUUGAAGAUUAGAUAGAACCUUUCCCCUUGUCUGCACUUUAGGUAAGAGCUCCAAUAAUCAUGAGUGAUGAUCUAGGCUGCAAAUUUUUUUCAUUGUACCACAUCCCUUGACCUUUGCAAGCUAUAGAUUUUUCAUUUUUUUCAUAAUCUUGAGCUGAUUUUGGAGAGGUUCUUACUGAUCGGUGUUCUCAUUUUCUGAUUUGAUCUACAAAAUUGUGGAAAAAUUCUCUGAUUUUAAAGCAAGCUGUAGUGUGCCGUAAUCCUCUUCUAAAUUGUUAAUAUUUUGGUCUGCUACUUGAAGCC
Molecule: long non-coding RNA, 902 nt
Filed under: Elaeis guineensis (African oil palm)
Lineage: Eukaryota; Viridiplantae; Streptophyta; Magnoliopsida; Arecales; Arecaceae
Description: long non-coding RNA (EGUI_LNC080425)
Source: RNAcentral